GUUGCUUCGGGGGCGACCCCGCCGUUUCGGCGACGGCGCCCCCGGAGGUCAUCAAACACUGCAUCUUUGCGUCGGAGUCUUAAAGUAAAUUUAAACAAAACUUUCAACAACGGAUCUCUUGGUUCUGGCAUCGAUGAAGAACGCAGCGAAAUGCGAUAAGUAAUGUGAAUUGCAGAAUUCAGGGAAUCAUCGAAUCUUUGAACGCACAUUGCGCCCCGUGGAAUUCCGCGGGGCAUGCCUGUUCGAGCGUCAUUUCACCACUCAAGCCUAGCUUGGUAUUGGGCGUCGCGGUUCCGCGCGACUUAAGUCUCCGGCUGAGCAGUUCGUCUCUAAGCGUUGUGGCAUAUAUUUCGCUGAAGAGUUCGGACGGCUUUUGGCCGUUAAAUCUUUCUUAAGGUUGACCUCGGAUCAGGUAGGGAUACCCGCUGAACUUAAGCAUA
RNAcentral lists this ribosomal RNA (440 nucleotides) under Pseudocercosporella bidentis. RNAcentral describes it as "eukaryotic LSU rRNA". The stretch from base 99 to 252 matches the Rfam family "5.8S ribosomal RNA". The record is from RNAcentral. Lineage: Eukaryota; Fungi; Ascomycota; Dothideomycetes; Mycosphaerellales; Mycosphaerellaceae.